GGCGCAGUGGCGAAGUAGCUAACGCAGCGGUCUGCAAAACCGCGAUUCAUGGGUGCAAAUCCCAUCUGCGCCUCCA
This 76-nucleotide transfer RNA is filed under the name Candidatus Doudnaibacteriota bacterium. RNAcentral's name for it is "Candidatus Doudnabacteria bacterium (hot springs metagenome) tRNA-Cys". It matches the Rfam family "tRNA". Rfam says of the family: Transfer RNA (tRNA) molecules are approximately 80 nucleotides in length. Lineage: Bacteria; Candidatus Doudnaibacteriota. The record is from RNAcentral.